UACGAAGGGGGCUAGCGUUGUUCGGAAUUACUGGGCGUAAAGGGCGCGUAGGCUGUGCUGUAAGUCAGGCGUGAAAGCCCCGGGCUCAACCUGGGAAUUGCGCUUGAUACUGCGGCGCUGGAAGGUGGGAGAGGAUGGCGGAAUUCCCAGUGUAGAGGUGAAAUUCGUAGAUAUUGGGAAGAACACCGGUGGCGAAGGCGGCCAUCCGGCCCAUUUUUGACGCUGAGGCGCGAAAGCGUGGGGAGCAAACAGG
This 253-nucleotide ribosomal RNA is filed under the name uncultured bacterium. RNAcentral's name for it is "partial 16S ribosomal RNA". It matches the Rfam family "Bacterial small subunit ribosomal RNA", at positions 524 to 776 of the family's 1533-position model. The record is from RNAcentral.